CCUACGGGGGGCAGCAGUUGGGAAUCUUGCGCAAUGGGGGAAACCCUGACGCAGCGACGCCGCGUGCGGGAUGACGGUCUUCGGAUUGUAAACCGCUUUUCUCGGGGACGAUAAUGACGGUACCCGAGGAAUAAGCCCCGGCUAACUCCGUGCCAGCAGCCGCGGUNAGACGGAGGGGGCAAGCGUUGUCCGGAAUUACUGGGCGUAAAGCGCUCGUAGGCGGUCGCAUACGGCGGUGGUGAAAGCUCCCGGCUCAACUGGGAGAGGCCCGCCGCAACGGUGCGACGUGAGGGUGGUAGAGGCAAAUGGAAUUCCUGGUGUAGCGGUGAAAUGCGUAGAGAUCAGGAGGAACACCAAUGGCGAAGGCAGCCCCCUUGGCUAACACUGACGCUCAGGCACGAAAGCGUGGGGAGCAAACAGGAUUAGAUACCCUGGUANUC
Molecule: ribosomal RNA, 440 nt
Filed under: uncultured bacterium
Lineage: Bacteria
Description: bacterial SSU rRNA
Rfam family: Bacterial small subunit ribosomal RNA
Source: RNAcentral